CAGGGGAACCAAGAUGAUGUCAUGGACUCAGAUCCUUAUGUCCUUGUUGCUCUGGGUCUCAGGUGCCUGUGGGGACAUCGUGAUGACCCAGUCUCCAGACUCCUUGGCAGUGUCUCUAGGACAGAGAGUCGAGAUGAAGUGCAAGGCCAGUCAGAGUGUUAGCAACUACUUAGACUGGUACCAGCAAAAACCAGUAAAGGCUCCUAAGCUGCUCAUCUAUGCAGCAUCCAGCAGAGCAUCUGGGGUCCCCGACCGAUUCAGUGGCAGUGGAUCUGGGACAGAUUUCACUCUCACCAUCAGCAGCCUCCAGGCUGAAGAUGUGGCAGUUUACUCCUGUCAGCAGCGUUAUAGUUCUCCUCCCACAGUGCUUCAGCUUCGAACAGAAGCCUCCUACUCCUACUGACUGCCAUGAGUCAGUGAGUCUUUUCUGCACCAGCUGCUUUGUCCCCACACAGACCUGAACAUGUACAUUCCUCCAUCUACCUGAGAGGUCAUAUCGCCUGACUUAUUCCUUGGAUACAUUGUAGGGCCCAGGGGAAAAUUAAGGGAAUUGGCUUUUUUGAAUCUCUUUUAGUGGGAGGCAAUAUAAGAAAAAUGCUAUAAAGAUCUGUUAAAGGUCAGGGGUUUUUGUGUCACAGGAACUUGCAUGUUUUCCAUGGACUGAUCCCAUGAUUAAUCAAUAAGGUUUCUCUCUAUCCUCUGCAGAAGGAUCCAUUGAAUUUUACAUCCUGAUGGAUUCAUUCUCUCUUCCCUGUGCCUCCUUGAUCUUGGAACAUUUCUAUUUUAAUUUCUGAUUCUCUUGGUCUCCUUUCUUUAUCUGCAAUCACCCUUCUAACUCUGGACUAUCACAAUAUUAAACCCUUGAUGUGUCCUAUUCAAAACCUUCCUCAAAGAAGGUAGUAUCCUUCUCUUGCUUUUUCCUUACCUGGACCUAUUUUCCAGCCAAACUUUUCUGCUCAAUGUCAUUGAAGUUGCUUUCCUACUCUAUCUCCUUUUGUAACACCCUUUUAUCAUCUCUCCAUUUCCUCCACUGUACUCAUUCUUAGAAAGACAAUUCUCUAAUUCUUUAAUCCUGUCACUCUAGAAAUAUAUGAUAGUGUUCUCUAUUACCUUUUCUCAUCAAUUGUCAACUUUCUCUUUAAACCCAUCCCUUGGGCACCCGAGUCUAAUUUUGUGACUGAGGGAUAUCAUGGCUUUAAGUGUGCUACAACUUGAAUCCCUUGGAUAGCAUUUAAAUAACAUGCCCAUUUCAGUGUAAAAUUGGAAAAAACUCCAGUCACUUUAGUAUUACUUCUAAAUUUAGCAUCAGGAAAGAUCCCAGCAAACUUCAUCAGUGUCGUCUGAACACUCUUGCCUGCAUAACAGCUCCUCAUAAUAAUUAAAAAUAUAUUUAAAGUAUUGCUCUUGAGGCAUUCAUGGCAUUUAUUCAUUCAAGAUAUGUUUUUUUGAGUGCUUUCUAUGUGUCAGGAGCA
Molecule: non-coding RNA, 1472 nt
Organism: Equus caballus (horse)
Lineage: Eukaryota; Metazoa; Chordata; Mammalia; Perissodactyla; Equidae
Source: the annotation of a RefSeq genome assembly